GAUGAACGCUGGCGGCGUGCCUAAUACAUGCAAGUCGAGCGAACGGACGAGAAGCUUGCUUCUCUGAUGUUAGCGGCGGACGGGUGAGUAACACGUGGAUAACCUACCUAUAAGACUGGGAUAACUUCGGGAAACCGGAGCUAAUACCGGAUAAUAUUUUGAACCGCAUGGUUCAAAAGUGAAGGACGGUCUUGCUGUCACUUAUAGAUGGAUCCGCGCUGCAUUAGCUAGUUGGUAAGGUAACGGCUUACCAAGGCAACGAUGCAUAGCCGACCUGAGAGGGUGAUCGGCCACACUGGAACUGAGACACGGUCCAGACUCCUACGGGAGGCAGCAGUAGGGAAUCUUCCGCAAUGGGCGAAAGCCUGACGGAGCAACGCCGCGUGAGUGAUGAAGGUCUUCGGACCGUAAAACUCUGUUAUUAGGGAAGAACAUAUGUGUAAGUAACUGUGCACAUCUUGACGGUACCUAAUCAGAAAGCCACGGCUAACUACGUG
This 497-nucleotide ribosomal RNA is filed under the name uncultured bacterium. RNAcentral describes it as "partial 16S ribosomal RNA". It matches the Rfam family "Bacterial small subunit ribosomal RNA", at positions 28 to 507 of the family's 1533-position model. The record is from RNAcentral.